UCUUGAGUGCAAGGUAGGAAUUUUCUUUAAGUUGGCGGUUUGAUAUGUGGUAUAGUAAAUUUUGAUUGCAAAAUGGUUUCAAUAAGAAGUGUAGAAUCAUGAUCAAAAGGGAUUGCAAAGGCAAUUGGUAUUAUUUUUUUUAAAGGUGGAUAUUCAAGGACUAUAUUAGUUGAUGCAAUAGAAUCAAAAUCCUAUGGAGAUAUAGCUAUUGUAUUAAAUUUUUUAGAUUGACAUAUUUCUAUUAAGUCUAAGAUUGGUAAAAGUGUAAGUUGGUUGAUUUUUAGAAGCCAUGACACAAUGUUAUUUUUAUUAAAGCAAAUAUUACAAUGUCAUGUGAUAAUAAAAUUAUAUGGUAAAAAGUAAAAAUAUGGAUGUUAUUAUUGAAGAGCAUAAUAAAAAUAUGUAAUAAAAAAUAAUAAAAAUAAUAAAAAAUUAAUUAAAAAUUAUUUUAAUAUUAUUUUUUAUAGAAAGGACUUCUAUUUAUUUUGUAGGAACAUAAAAGCCUCAAAUCAAAAUAAAUGACAUGAGCAAAAAAUAUAGACAUCUUUAAAAAAGAAUUAAUAAUGGAUUUAAACAAAGUUAUCACAAAUUACCAAAAAUUUAUAAUUAAAAAGGACUAGUUGUGAAUCUAGAUCAAAAUUAGACUCCAAGGAACAAAACCAUGUAUAUACAAUAA
RNAcentral lists this long non-coding RNA (676 nucleotides) under Physcomitrium patens. RNAcentral describes it as "long non-coding RNA (PPAT_LNC008175)". The record is from RNAcentral. Lineage: Eukaryota; Viridiplantae; Streptophyta; Bryopsida; Funariales; Funariaceae.